CAUUCUAUUUAUAGCAUGAUAGAGAUAUGCGGCAAGUACACAAAGUGAGUUUUUCGUGCAAAUUGCCCCGAAAAAUAGCAUCAUCGAUUACAUUUGCGGCUUGGUCAUCCUAUUAAUAGGGUGAUAGUGUGACUUAGCGCGCAAACGAGCGGGCGGGUAAACCGGAGGGAGGAAUUCAAUGAAAUCGUCUUGGUCCAGAAUAUUGCUAGCGGUCCUGUCA
RNAcentral lists this unclassified non-coding RNA (220 nucleotides) under Hevea brasiliensis (rubber tree). Lineage: Eukaryota; Viridiplantae; Streptophyta; Magnoliopsida; Malpighiales; Euphorbiaceae. The record is from RNAcentral.